This 568-nucleotide ribosomal RNA is filed under the name uncultured bacterium. RNAcentral describes it as "partial 16S ribosomal RNA". It matches the Rfam family "Bacterial small subunit ribosomal RNA", at positions 355 to 938 of the family's 1533-position model. The record is from RNAcentral.
UGGGGAAUAUUGCGCAAUGGGGGGAACCCUGACGCAGCAACGCCGCGUGAAGGAUGAAGGCUUUCGGGUUGUAAACUUCUUUGAUGAGGGACGAAAGAAAUGACGGUACCUCAAAAACAAGCCACGGCUAACUACGUGCCAGCAGCCGCGGUAAUACGUAGGUGGCGAGCGUUGUCCGGAAUUACUGGGUGUAAAGGGCGUGUAGGCGGGGAUGCAAGUCAGAUGUGAAAUGCCGGGGCUUAACUCCGGAGCUGCAUCUGAAACUGUGUUUCUUGAGUGUCGGAGAGGAAAGCGGAAUUCCCAGUGUAGCGGUGAAAUGCGUAGAUAUUGGGAGGAACACCAGUGGCGAAGGCGGCUUUCUGGACGAUAACUGACGCUGAGGCGCGAAAGCGUGGGGAGCAAAACAGGAUUAGAUACCCUGGUAGUCCACGCUGUAAACGAUGGAUACUAGGUGUAGGAGGUAUCGACCCCUUCUGUGCCGGAGUUAACACAAUAAGUAUCCCACCUGGGGAGUACGGCCGCAAGGUUGAAACUCAAAAGGAAUUGACGGGGGUCAUAGCUGUUUCCU